GGGACAGUAGCUCAGGGGUAGAGUUCCAGGCUGUGGCCCUGAAGAGGCUGGUUCGACUCCAGCCUGUCCCU
RNAcentral lists this transfer RNA (71 nucleotides) under Chloroflexota bacterium. Its description in RNAcentral is "tRNA-His". It matches the Rfam family "tRNA". From Rfam's summary of the family: Transfer RNA (tRNA) molecules are approximately 80 nucleotides in length. Their secondary structure includes four short double-helical elements and three loops (D, anti-codon, and T loops). The record is from RNAcentral. Lineage: Bacteria; Bacillati; Chloroflexota.